CAGAAAAGAAAUGGACAGAAACAUUGGAAAAAGUCAGAUUCAAUAUUCUUGUUUCAUAUUGUUGACAUACUAGAGUCAAAGGUUUUUACAGAGAGAAUUUUUGAUAUCUCUUUUUAUCACUCCAUAAAUCAUAAAAUACUGUCAACAGGCAU
Long non-coding RNA from Etheostoma cragini (Arkansas darter), 152 nucleotides. RefSeq lists it as uncharacterized. The record is from RefSeq and is a predicted model, not a curated record. The transcript is spliced from 3 exons. NCBI's taxonomy places the organism in Eukaryota, Metazoa, Chordata, Actinopteri, Perciformes, Percidae.